GGCUCAGGCAAAUUGGCUAGACAGGUGUCCCCUUCCUCCCUUACCGCACCAUGUGCGUCCCUCCCAAAGCUGCGCACUCGGUUGAAGAGGACAGCCAUCUCCGCUAGAGGAGGACCAUUCUUCAGUCAAGGGCAUACGAGUAGCUGCACUCCCCUGCUAGAACCUCCAAACAAGCUCUCAAAUCCUAAUUUCAAUAGCACACAAUACUUUGUAACCACAUAGUUCCCAUCUUUAUGCUGUUAUUCACCAGCAUGGUUCAAUAAUUA
Molecule: small nuclear RNA, 266 nt
Filed under: Carlito syrichta (Philippine tarsier)
Lineage: Eukaryota; Metazoa; Chordata; Mammalia; Primates; Tarsiidae
Description: 7SK RNA (ENSTSYG00000028632.1)
Rfam family: 7SK RNA
About the family: 7SK was discovered as an abundant small nuclear RNA in the mid-70s but a possible function has only recently been suggested. Two independent studies have found that 7SK RNA binds the CDK9/cyclin T complex (known as elongation factor P-TEFb). P-TEFb activates transcription by phosphorylating the C-terminal domain of RNA polymerase II.
Source: Rfam by way of RNAcentral